Non-coding RNA from Rhizobacter sp. Root404, 58 nucleotides. The record is from Rfam. Lineage: Bacteria; Pseudomonadati; Pseudomonadota; Betaproteobacteria; Burkholderiales; Sphaerotilaceae.
GACAAGCGGUAAACCGCUCGUCAUGUGCACACCCCAGUACCUGAUACGGCUGGGGUCG